Non-coding RNA from Vicia faba (fava bean), 164 nucleotides. Lineage: Eukaryota; Viridiplantae; Streptophyta; Magnoliopsida; Fabales; Fabaceae. The record is from the annotation of a GenBank genome assembly.
AUGACUCUGCCCAUGAUCAUGGAAAUUGGACUAGAGAGAGGGUUCAGAACUGCUGUAGGCGAUCUCAUAAUAAUGCAGCUGCAGCUUGCACCCGUUUUCUUCACUUUUUCACUAGGUACAAAGAUGCAUUAUUUUGGGCGCACUCUUCUUCAUGGAGGAGCAAA